This 652-nucleotide ribosomal RNA is filed under the name Haematococcus lacustris. RNAcentral describes it as "small subunit ribosomal RNA". The record is from RNAcentral. Lineage: Eukaryota; Viridiplantae; Chlorophyta; Chlorophyceae; Chlamydomonadales; Haematococcaceae.
AAAGUAUAAUAAAGAAAAAAGAAAGCGCUACAUAGCUGAAACAUUUGCAUAGUAUAAAUAUAUAGAAUAUUUAAAUGCAUCUGCAAGUAAUUAUGGCCUUUGUCUUGUGGGAUACAUGUGUGCUACGUUGUAUAACCUAUACAAUGGUUAUAAGAAAUAAGCAGGAUGGUUUUAUGAAAAGGAAAACCUGAAAUAGUAAUGGCGAGUAAUUAUAAAUCAAGAAGUUAUAAUGAAGACAGGGUUAAGCACGUACGUGUUUAUUUUAAAUAGUAAGUGGGGUACUAUUAAGUUUAAACUUACUAUCUGCCCUUCUGCCUAUAGGGCUUCUGCUUCUUUAAAAGGGGUAAGGGCUUUCCUCUUUCCCCCUAUCCCUUAAAGGCUCUUAUGGAGGCUUUAAGGGAUAGGGGGAAAGAGGAAAGCCCUUAAAGGCCUACAAACCCAUUUUACAGUUUAUGAUGCACACAUCGCCCGUCACUGUCUGAACGAGUGCAUAGGGUAGAAGAAAAGUAUUAUUGUAGUAAUACUAACGAACCCCUUUCCUCUAUCGGAUAAAAGUCGUAACAGGUUAUAGUUGGGGAACCAGCCGUAGAGAUAAUUUAAUUAAUAUAAAAAACCAAUGUACAAAAACCCUUUAUGUAGUGCCCCCCUAUAC